RNAcentral lists this ribosomal RNA (262 nucleotides) under uncultured bacterium. Its description in RNAcentral is "partial 16S ribosomal RNA". It matches the Rfam family "Bacterial small subunit ribosomal RNA", at positions 99 to 354 of the family's 1533-position model. The record is from RNAcentral.
CGCACGGGUGAGUAACACGUGAGUGACCUGCCUUUUAGACUGGAACAACUUACCGAAAGGUGAGCUAAUGCCGGAUGAGUUAUAUAAGUGCAUGUUUAUAUAGGAAAAGUUGGGGAGACCUGACGCUGAAAGAUGGACUCGCGUCCCAUUAGCUAGUCGGUAGGGUAAUGGCCUACCAAGGCGACGAUGGGUAGCCGGCCUGAGAGGGUGGCCGGCCACACUGGGACUGAGACACGGCCCAGACUCCUACGGGAGGCAGCAG